UUAGGCCUAGAACAAAAUCACGUUAUAUAUACAGUAUAUAUUGGCGACAUUUAAUUUCCCCACUCACGGAAUACAAUCGACAAACUGGGAACAGAAUAUCAAAUUUCGUCUAGCUUUUGGCGACUUAUGAUACCCCUUUCACCGGCAAACACUGAAUUAUCGGACAACAUGAAAUCAGGGACUAAAUUCACCAGCAUUCAUGAUCCUCGGACCACCCGCCCCCUACGCACAGCCGAUUUAUAAAUGUUGCAUCUUUCAAUCAGUGUCAAUCCCAAGAAGAACCCUGAUCAGCUCCUGGAAAAAUCAGUGUUCUUGCAGUAUUGUCAGUCAAAUCUCAAGGAAAGGAUCCCAGAAGAGGAACAUUUACAUUUAAAAAUUUCAGACUUUUUUCUUUCCUGUGUAACAAUGCCUCAAACAGCUAACACAUUUUAUAUAGUAUACAAUACAAUGUGUAUUAAUAACAGUCCAGUUAGAGUGCUGUGUUAUGCAGUAAAAAUACUUAAUUCUUGAUGACAUGUUGGUUUUAUGUUUACAUUAAACGGUAGUUAUAAUAUAUACUAAAGAAACAUAGUGGAUAAUGCCUUGUACAGGAGCAGGAGUAUGACAGUGUAAUAGUACAUGACUGCUGCGUUCAUCCAUGGAAGGAAUCUGUUAUUCGAAAUAAAGCUUUCCAUGAGGACGAAAAA
Molecule: long non-coding RNA, 686 nt
Organism: Pecten maximus
Lineage: Eukaryota; Metazoa; Mollusca; Bivalvia; Pectinida; Pectinidae
Exons: 3
Source: RefSeq, a predicted model, not a curated record